Molecule: long non-coding RNA, 4098 nt
Organism: Tetranychus urticae (two-spotted spider mite)
Lineage: Eukaryota; Metazoa; Arthropoda; Arachnida; Trombidiformes; Tetranychidae
Source: RefSeq, a predicted model, not a curated record
AACUGUUGAGAUAUUCCAGGAGCAAAAAUCCAGGUUUUCGCAAUGAAAUUUCACAUGUAACAAAAGUAUCAUUUGAGUACUAAUGUUACCGAUAAUCUAUCUUUUUAGUCAUCAUUUAGCCUAAAUGAAAAAGCACUUCUCAACAUCUCAACAUUAAUGACUAACUAAAGCUAGACUGAUCAAUUUGAUGGCAAAAAUCAGCCUCAAGUUGAACAAUUUGACUAUCUUAUGAAGUUACAAAAUGGGCGCACUCAAUUAAGCUAUUCAAAUUAUUAAUUAUUGAGACUCCCCAACAACAUCACUUUAAGCUUUUUGCAUGUUGGGAAAAUAAAUCAUUUUAUUCCCAUUAACACUUGAGUUCAUCACGAACAAAUUAUCAUCAAAUGUACUCAUCAUACUUCUAGCUAAUAAAAGAUUAAUCGAUAACACAAUAAACGGUUAAAAUAGAUUAGCUAAACCUUGUCAUCAUUGUUCAAAAUCAACCUGCUUCAGAUCGCUUUGGACUUGCAAAAUUAUCAUGACAACCAAACCUUUCAACAGCCAACUUAACACGUGAACCUUAAAUACAUGAUUCAAUUGAGAAAAUUGAAACCAAAAUAAAUUUGUUAUUAAUGUAUUUCAAUUGACUAUGAAUUGCAAUAAACCUUCCAGUUAAUAGCAAAGUUAUCCAUUUGAAUAAUCCCUUUCACUCCUGAAAGUUGUUCACUUUUGUAACAAUAGGUGACACUACCUACUCUGGUAAAAACCGCCAUUCAAUUGCUGUAAAGCUUUUAGUUUUUAAUUUAAUUUAUUUUUUGAGUAUUUUAAUUUACUUUUGAAUGUUUACAGUGCUUUUGGUUUCAUCAAAAAUUAAAUUUUCAUUUAAUUAUGUCUAAAACAGUCAAGCAAUAGUUACAAUACAACAGUUGGAAUCAGCUAAAUUACAUAUUCCCAAUGAACCUGCUUCAGGCAAAUUGAUAUCGAGCUUAUGUUCGCAAUGGCAUGGUCAAGUUGAUAAUAUUGCUUUCUUAAUUAAACAAUUGGACCCAUCAUCAGUUAUUCGCAUUGCCCAUCAAUCUACAGCUGAUCUGUAUGACAUUUUUGAAAAAAAAACUUAUGCAGGAAGUGGAAAAGAAGAAAAAAGGAAAAUCAAGGAAUCAAUUAAUUUCACAUGGAUAUGGAAAUCCUAAUUCUCCAGUUUAACUUCCAUCAAGUGUUGAAUAUAUCGCUCCUGUUUCUACUCCAUAUUCAAUUCCAUCGACUACUGUUAAAUAUAUUCCUCCUGUGACUAGACCAUAUUCAACUAAAACGACUGCUGUUAAAGACACCAAGCAAUAUGAACCAACAAACACACCGAUGAUGCCAUGAAGGAAGCUCCUUUACUCUUUGGAUAGAUGGCUGUAGUUGCAUUGUCUCAACAAGAUCUUAAAAUCGCGGCUUAAAUUAAUAGCUGUUUUAUCAUCCAAUAUACUGGCAAUAUUGUGACAGUAAUUGUAACAUUGAGUAACUUCAACAAGUUAUACGUUUAUUGUGGCAUUAUUUUGUUGGCUCAAGAAUUAUAAACAAUUUAAUCGACUAAAUCAGCAAUUCAUAAUUUCCAAGAAUUACAAUUGUAACAAAGUACUUGAUGUAGACAAGGAUAAAUUGAGUGGUAAAUGUAGCAAUGCAUGAUAACCAGACGGAUCUCCAGUGAAAAUAUCUUAUUGGUAAUAAGAUAUUAGAUUAAUAUCAAAGGAUCAAGAAAUUGACGCUUUACUCCUUUGGACUCGCUUGUCUCAUGGUUAUUGGUCAUUACAAAGGAUAAAAGUUCAGAUAAAAAUCAGCUUUUUACAUUGUAUUUUUAUAUACAUUAUAUUGUUUGGUUAUCAGGUAAACCUGACUGGACAACAACUGAUCAAGUAUAAUCAAGUUAAUCAAUUGUAACAAUGAGUGGAAGACCAAAAAGUGACCAAAAAAAGCGACCAAGAAAAGAUCAAAAAAUGCUACUUUCCUCAUCCCCAAAGUACCCAUUGUGAUUGGGUUUAAUGCAUUUAAAGCGAGUGUUAAACGGGAUCAACGUUAACAACUUGAUGUUGGUGGUCAACUCAUUUCAAUCAAUUUUAUCAUCUUCAGAUGCUGCUGAUGUUGAUCAUGUUGAUGAUAAUCAUAACCCUGAUAAUCAACCAUGAUAAUCAUAAUCAACAUCUCAUCACGGAUAAAGAUCACACUAAGCUUUACCCAAGCAAAGGCCUUUUUUUGCCUCUCAAGUAAUACAAACCUCAAAAAAUCAAACUUGAUGUAAUCUUGAUACACUAACUCACAAUUCAACAUCUCCACUUUUUUAUCACCAAGUUAAUCAGUUAACAAUCAAUACCUCAACAUUGCCAUUGACAAUUAAAUUGAUUCAAAUUGAAUUGUUCAAAGUCAGGGGAGGAAAUGGCCACAAAAAAAACACCGUAAACAAUCAGUGCUAUUAUAUUAUUAAUGUUAACCUUUUAACUAUACAAAAUGAACACAUUUGUAUACACACGCAUUGGGACAGAUAUUAACUUUGAAACUCAAGUUAACCUGAUCCCAUAAUGUGUAUAACAAGAUCACAAUCAGACACACAAUACCAUUUCCUAAUAACUAAUCAAUAUUGAACAAAAGGCUAACGAUCAACUUAAUCAAAUGUCUUGGAUACGCUGGAAACAAAAAGGAUUCCCAACUCUUCCCAGGUCAAUCAAGAAAACCUUUAACCCCGCAAAAGCAAACGUCCAAGUCUGUGUGGAUAUUUUUUUAUACAUUCACUCUUGGUGGUAAGAAAGCGAACCAAAUUAAAACUAGAUUUAGACCAUAAUCAAGCCAAACCUUUUACCGUAACAAGAAAAGGCCGUUCGUCCCACUUCAACAAACGAUGGAAAUGAUGAUUAAAACUAACCUGUGGUUUAGUAUUUAACAAUUUACCAAAACCAAAGUUUCUUACUUUCAACCUUUCCAAAGGAUUUGCCAAUCAUUUGAUUCACCGAGAAAAAAAACCAAAUUCAAUAAACUUAACCAUCUUUUAGGUUUACCUUUUUUUUACCAAGAAAAGGCAUCAACAUGGCCAUAUUCAAACAAAGCAGGCAGAAAAAAAAACAAUUACUUGUAACAAAAAACUUCAAGACUGUACCUCACAUGUUGGUUACAAGAGUUGAUUGUUAUUAGACUUUUGGUGAGGCUUUACCUUACAUGAUGUGUGUUAGGCCUUUGCUGAUGAUGAUAACAUUUGCUUAUUUGUUUUCAAUUUACUUGUAUUAUUUGAACUGAUUGUUUUGUUGAUUGUAAAAUCUAAGCCCAGCGAAGUAAACAUGGAAAGCAUCUUGAGAUACAGUGAAAUACAGCUUCCAUGGUUAAAUUAAUUUUGCGUUUCGUGACCAAUACCGGUGUUCAAUUUUGGCUGCCUUUUUUUGUAAGCCAUAAUAAUGUAAUCAGUAAACUGUGAUAUUAAUAAUUAUAAUGAUAAUAAUGUAUAAACUUGUACAAUUGACUGUGUAUAUGUAUAAUUGAUUGUGGGCUGUACAAAUGUGUAUUUGUUUCAAAUAAGGUUUACUGGUUGUUGAUUUUUGUUUCUUACCUUCAUCUGAAAAAGCAAAGCAAGUUAAACAAUCAAUUUAUCACCAGUAAACUUGAAGAUAAAUUACAAAGUAACUAGCAACAAGUCCAACACGAUUGAUUAUUAAUCAAUGAGCUUAACUAACUUAAUAAAGCUUUUACAUCAUCAUAAACAUUAAGUGAAAAUACACUUGCGUAGCUGUAAGCCCAACGAAAAAAGGUAGAAAAUUGAAAAUGAACAAGAAACGUUCACUUUUACAUUUGUCGGACUUUAAGUGUAUACUAAAUCUGAUUGUAAUAACACAAAGCCAAGUGAAAAAAAGGAGCAAAACUUGUCCCUCACUAAUCAAUUGUAAGCCUUGAAUCUAUUUAAUUGAUUGUCCAAAUCAACUGUUACAAUGCUAUUUGAUGAUAAUAAUAAUAAUUUACAUUUUUGCUCGUCUUCUCAUCUCUCAAUUCCCAGAGUAACUUUCAUCUUGCCAUCAUCAACAUAUCAUCAUCUCAUCUCCUCCUUCAUACUCUCUUCGCUUCCCAUAUGAUGAUAAACUGUCCACAAUUGAAUAAAAU